UUUAAAGAGAGUUUGAUCCUGGCUCAGGACGAACGCUGGCGGCGUGCCUAAUACAUGCAAGUCGAACGAACGGAGGAAGAGCUUGCUCUUCCAAAGUUAGUGGCGGACGGGUGAGUAACACGUGGGCAACCUGCCUGUAAGUUGGAGAUAACUCCGGGAAACCGGGGCUAAUACCGAAUGAUAAAGUGUGGCGCAUGCCA
Molecule: ribosomal RNA, 200 nt
Filed under: Listeria monocytogenes
Lineage: Bacteria; Bacillati; Bacillota; Bacilli; Caryophanales; Listeriaceae
Description: partial 16S ribosomal RNA
Rfam family: Bacterial small subunit ribosomal RNA
Source: RNAcentral